UUAUAAGAGACAGCAGUAGCCGCGGGAAUACAGAGGGUGCGAGCGUUAAUCGGAUUUACUGGGCGUAAAGCGUGCGUAGGCGGCUUCUUAAGUCGGAUGUGAAAUCCCUGAGCUUAACUUAGGAAUUGCAUUCGAUACUGGGAAGCUAGAGUAUGGGAGAGGAUGGUAGAAUUCCAGGUGUAGCGGUGAAAUGCGUAGAGAUCUGGAGGAAUACCGAUGGCGAAGGCAGCCAUCUGGCCUAAUACUGACGCUGAGGUACGAAAGCAUGGGGAGCAAACAGGAUUAGAUACCCCGGUAGUCCCUGUCUCUUAUAC
This 314-nucleotide ribosomal RNA is filed under the name uncultured bacterium. Its description in RNAcentral is "partial 16S ribosomal RNA". It matches the Rfam family "Bacterial small subunit ribosomal RNA", at positions 499 to 807 of the family's 1533-position model. The record is from RNAcentral.